This 526-nucleotide long non-coding RNA is filed under the name Helianthus annuus (common sunflower). RNAcentral describes it as "hypothetical non coding rna". Lineage: Eukaryota; Viridiplantae; Streptophyta; Magnoliopsida; Asterales; Asteraceae. The record is from RNAcentral.
UUGUGGUUUGACCAUCUUUCAUACUUAGAUUGCCUCUAGGUAAUCCAACAAGCCCAUAAUUUGGUGAAGCUCCUAGAUUACCUUGGGCCUGGGCUUGUGUCAAGGCAUGUUGCUGCUGUGAUGCCAAAUAGAACUGAUUUUGAUUCUGCAUAUUGGGCUUUUGUACUUGCAAACCCAUAUUGGGCCGUAAAUUGUCGAUACCCUUUAGAGGCCAACCCUUUAAUGGAAGAGCAGUAACACCUUGAUUCAAUCCUGAAAUGAUGGGGAUGGAGAUAAUAAAAAUAAAAAUCCAUUUAUAUCAUAUAAUAAAGCGUUGAGUUUUUAUGCUGUCGAUUGUUGUUUGUUCACAAUCAUUCAUCCGAAAUUAAGAAAUAACAAUCAGAAUAAACGUCUUAACAGGUCAAAAGUCAAAACAGGUCUGGGUUGAAACCAGUCAUUUUUUAGCAAGGUUGAGAUGUGCCAGUCAGUGGCGAAGCUUGAAAAUUUCCACCGGGGGGUCGAAAGUUACCGGACCUAAAAAUUCUAU